RNAcentral lists this small RNA (578 nucleotides) under Pan troglodytes (chimpanzee). Its description in RNAcentral is "retained intron". The record is from RNAcentral. Lineage: Eukaryota; Metazoa; Chordata; Mammalia; Primates; Hominidae.
UUUUAAGUUCUAGGGCACUAUAUUAUCAGUAGCUAAGGUUAACAACCCUUCUUGUUGAGUUGUCCUAAGUGGUUUAUUCCAUAGUAGUUGCUCCCAUACAAUGUGGGUAGUUGAACUGAGUGAUCACCAGUUGCUUCAGACAGUUUUUUUUUUUUAUGGUGUUGAGGUAUUCACAGGACUGACUUAAAAACAAACCAACAGAAGUUUUAGCUAAGGAAACCUCCCAGAGUGCUUUUGUGCAAAAUCUAAUUUUGAUUUUAGAGUUAAUAAGCUUGGAAAAUAGAAAUAAAUCAAUUUUAACUCUUGUCUCUUUUAUACAUGUUCAGGUUUUGUAGGUUUGUUUAAUCUGCUGCUCUUAUGGCCAGGUUUCUUUUUACUUCAUUAUACUGGAUUUGAGGACUUCGAGUUUCCCAAUAAAGUAGUAUUAAUGUGCAUUAUCAUUAAUGGCCUUAUUGGAACAGUACUCUCAGAGUUCCUGUGGUUGUGGGGCUGCUUUCUUACCUCAUCAUUGAUAGGCACACUUGCACUAAGCCUUACAAUACCUCUGUCCAUAAUAGCUGACAUGUGUAUGCAAAAGG